UGGAACCUGCCCAGUGCAAAAACGUAAACGGCCGCAGUACCUUGACUGUGCUAAGGUAGCAUAAUCAGUUGGCUUUUAAAUGGAGUCGGGAAUGAAUGGGUCAAUGGGAUAAAGCUGCUCUCUUUUAUAUUGAUUUGAAUUUACUUAUUAGGUGAAAAUUCCUAUAUUUAGAAAAAAGACGAGAAGACCCUAGGAGUUUUAACUAAUAGUUAUUUUUAACUUAUGUUUUGGUUGGGGCGACGUUGGAGAAUUAUAACCUCCCAUAACUUUAUUUGCCGAUAAAAUAUGAUAAUAUAAACUACCCUAGGGAUAACAGCGUAAUUCUUUUAGAGCUUGCGACCUCGAUGUUGGACUAGGAAUUUACUAGGCUAGCCGCUUAUUUAUAUUGUUCUGUUC
RNAcentral lists this ribosomal RNA (396 nucleotides) under Thuridilla ratna. Its description in RNAcentral is "partial 16S ribosomal RNA". It matches the Rfam family "Archaeal large subunit ribosomal RNA", at positions 1945 to 2651 of the family's 2987-position model. Lineage: Eukaryota; Metazoa; Mollusca; Gastropoda; Plakobranchidae. The record is from RNAcentral.